RNAcentral lists this ribosomal RNA (2901 nucleotides) under Escherichia coli. RNAcentral describes it as "23S ribosomal RNA". It matches the Rfam family "Bacterial large subunit ribosomal RNA". The record is from RNAcentral. Lineage: Bacteria; Pseudomonadati; Pseudomonadota; Gammaproteobacteria; Enterobacterales; Enterobacteriaceae.
UUAAGCGACUAAGCGUACACGGUGGAUGCCCUGGCAGUCAGAGGCGAUGAAGGACGUGCUAAUCUGCGAUAAGCGUCGGUAAGGUGAUAUGAACCGUUAUAACCGGCGAUUUCCGAAUGGGGAAACCCAGUGUGUUUCGACACACUAUCAUUAACUGAAUCCAUAGGUUAAUGAGGCGAACCGGGGGAACUGAAACAUCUAAGUACCCCGAGGAAAAGAAAUCAACCGAGAUUCCCCCAGUAGCGGCGAGCGAACGGGGAGCAGCCCAGAGCCUGAAUCAGUGUGUGUGUUAGUGGAAGCGUCUGGAAAGGCGCGCGAUACAGGGUGACAGCCCCGUACACAAAAAUGCACAUGCUGUGAGCUCGAUGAGUAGGGCGGGACACGUGGUAUCCUGUCUGAAUAUGGGGGGACCAUCCUCCAAGGCUAAAUACUCCUGACUGACCGAUAGUGAACCAGUACCGUGAGGGAAAGGCGAAAAGAACCCCGGCGAGGGGAGUGAAAAAGAACCUGAAACCGUGUACGUACAAGCAGUGGGAGCACGCUUAGGCGUGUGACUGCGUACCUUUUGUAUAAUGGGUCAGCGACUUAUAUUCUGUAGCAAGGUUAACCGAAUAGGGGAGCCGAAGGGAAACCGAGUCUUAACUGGGCGUUAAGUUGCAGGGUAUAGACCCGAAACCCGGUGAUCUAGCCAUGGGCAGGUUGAAGGUUGGGUAACACUAACUGGAGGACCGAACCGACUAAUGUUGAAAAAUUAGCGGAUGACUUGUGGCUGGGGGUGAAAGGCCAAUCAAACCGGGAGAUAGCUGGUUCUCCCCGAAAGCUAUUUAGGUAGCGCCUCGUGAAUUCAUCUCCGGGGGUAGAGCACUGUUUCGGCAAGGGGGUCAUCCCGACUUACCAACCCGAUGCAAACUGCGAAUACCGGAGAAUGUUAUCACGGGAGACACACGGCGGGUGCUAACGUCCGUCGUGAAGAGGGAAACAACCCAGACCGCCAGCUAAGGUCCCAAAGUCAUGGUUAAGUGGGAAACGAUGUGGGAAGGCCCAGACAGCCAGGAUGUUGGCUUAGAAGCAGCCAUCAUUUAAAGAAAGCGUAAUAGCUCACUGGUCGAGUCGGCCUGCGCGGAAGAUGUAACGGGGCUAAACCAUGCACCGAAGCUGCGGCAGCGACGCUUAUGCGUUGUUGGGUAGGGGAGCGUUCUGUAAGCCUGCGAAGGUGUGCUGUGAGGCAUGCUGGAGGUAUCAGAAGUGCGAAUGCUGACAUAAGUAACGAUAAAGCGGGUGAAAAGCCCGCUCGCCGGAAGACCAAGGGUUCCUGUCCAACGUUAAUCGGGGCAGGGUGAGUCGACCCCUAAGGCGAGGCCGAAAGGCGUAGUCGAUGGGAAACAGGUUAAUAUUCCUGUACUUGGUGUUACUGCGAAGGGGGGACGGAGAAGGCUAUGUUGGCCGGGCGACGGUUGUCCCGGUUUAAGCGUGUAGGCUGGUUUUCCAGGCAAAUCCGGAAAAUCAAGGCUGAGGCGUGAUGACGAGGCACUACGGUGCUGAAGCAACAAAUGCCCUGCUUCCAGGAAAAGCCUCUAAGCAUCAGGUAACAUCAAAUCGUACCCCAAACCGACACAGGUGGUCAGGUAGAGAAUACCAAGGCGCUUGAGAGAACUCGGGUGAAGGAACUAGGCAAAAUGGUGCCGUAACUUCGGGAGAAGGCACGCUGAUAUGUAGGUGAAGUCCCUCGCGGAUGGAGCUGAAAUCAGUCGAAGAUACCAGCUGGCUGCAACUGUUUAUUAAAAACACAGCACUGUGCAAACACGAAAGUGGACGUAUACGGUGUGACGCCUGCCCGGUGCCGGAAGGUUAAUUGAUGGGGUUAGCGCAAGCGAAGCUCUUGAUCGAAGCCCCGGUAAACGGCGGCCGUAACUAUAACGGUCCUAAGGUAGCGAAAUUCCUUGUCGGGUAAGUUCCGACCUGCACGAAUGGCGUAAUGAUGGCCAGGCUGUCUCCACCCGAGACUCAGUGAAAUUGAACUCGCUGUGAAGAUGCAGUGUACCCGCGGCAAGACGGAAAGACCCCGUGAACCUUUACUAUAGCUUGACACUGAACAUUGAGCCUUGAUGUGUAGGAUAGGUGGGAGGCUUUGAAGUGUGGACGCCAGUCUGCAUGGAGCCGACCUUGAAAUACCACCCUUUAAUGUUUGAUGUUCUAACGUUGACCCGUAAUCCGGGUUGCGGACAGUGUCUGGUGGGUAGUUUGACUGGGGCGGUCUCCUCCUAAAGAGUAACGGAGGAGCACGAAGGUUGGCUAAUCCUGGUCGGACAUCAGGAGGUUAGUGCAAUGGCAUAAGCCAGCUUGACUGCGAGCGUGACGGCGCGAGCAGGUGCGAAAGCAGGUCAUAGUGAUCCGGUGGUUCUGAAUGGAAGGGCCAUCGCUCAACGGAUAAAAGGUACUCCGGGGAUAACAGGCUGAUACCGCCCAAGAGUUCAUAUCGACGGCGGUGUUUGGCACCUCGAUGUCGGCUCAUCACAUCCUGGGGCUGAAGUAGGUCCCAAGGGUAUGGCUGUUCGCCAUUUAAAGUGGUACGCGAGCUGGGUUUAGAACGUCGUGAGACAGUUCGGUCCCUAUCUGCCGUGGGCGCUGGAGAACUGAGGGGGGCUGCUCCUAGUACGAGAGGACCGGAGUGGACGCAUCACUGGUGUUCGGGUUGUCAUGCCAAUGGCACUGCCCGGUAGCUAAAUGCGGAAGAGAUAAGUGCUGAAAGCAUCUAAGCACGAAACUUGCCCCGAGAUGAGUUCUCCCUGACUCCUUGAGAGUCCUGAAGGAACGUUGAAGACGACGACGUUGAUAGGCCGGGUGUGUAAGCGCAGCGAUGCGUUGAGCUAACCGGUACUAAUGAACCGUGAGGCUUAACCU